UGAAAGUGGGGGGCACGCGUUACUUUCCCCACACACGGUCUGCAAACACACCUCUACAAGGACAGUGAUUUUGAUGUUCUAUCAUCUUUCAAAAGAGGCAAAAAUAUUUGUUUAGUUUAAACAAUACUAGAGUAUCAUAAGAACCACCAACACCAAUUAAACAGGAAGAAAGAAGAGUUGCACAGUUUUGGAUCUUAAUGAGAAAUAAUUCCCUUCCAGGUAUCCGUCAGGGGGAGUGCGCAACACGCAGCGAUGUGCCGGUAAUACCUGGAACUUUCCUUCAACUUCCAGUCAUGUUCCUUCCAGCGGACGGAGCCCUCCCUGGCUGAGGCGGAUCUGAGGCUGGGGUAGUUCCCAUGGAGAGAGAAAGUUUUGCCCCCCCUCUAUCUUCUCUCCACGGUUUCUCACUCCUACACUAAACCGAUCCGGUUUGCACAAUCGAUGCAACAUGGCCGGUUAUUCGCGGGACCUAAUGCAGCGUAACCUUGCCUAUAGCAGAACAGACCAGCUGUGAUUAACCUGAUGCCCUGGCCUGAGAACAACCCACGCCGAGAGCACAGCACAGCUACGACGGUUUGCCUAUGACCCAGCAGCUCCCAGGGGACAGAGGGCCUGCUAAAAACAUCAGGACACCGAAUACUUGUCUGGAUGUGGAGUACGUCCCAGCCAGACAGCCCUUUUUCAGACCAGUGUAGUCAGGAAGCAUUACACCAUUAGAAGCCUAAUGCUUGGCUAUGUUCCCCCAGUAUAUCCACGGCUAGUGGAGUUACAGAAAUCAGCAGCUACCUAAAUUAUAAUAAUAAUAAUAAUAAUACAGAAAAAAUGUAAUAAUGUAAUAAAUGUAAUAAUAAUUUUAAAAAUGUAUUUAUAUUGCACUUUUCAAGGACCCAAAGAUGCUUACAAUAGCUUCUACAAAAAUAAAUAAAUAAAUAAAACAUUCUGCUGAUAUCUGCAGG
Electrophorus electricus (electric eel) is the source of this 956-nucleotide long non-coding RNA. RefSeq lists it as uncharacterized. NCBI's taxonomy places the organism in Eukaryota, Metazoa, Chordata, Actinopteri, Gymnotiformes, Gymnotidae. The record is from RefSeq and is a predicted model, not a curated record.